RNAcentral lists this ribosomal RNA (253 nucleotides) under uncultured Gemmatimonas sp. Its description in RNAcentral is "partial 16S ribosomal RNA". It matches the Rfam family "Bacterial small subunit ribosomal RNA", at positions 524 to 776 of the family's 1533-position model. Lineage: Bacteria; Pseudomonadati; Gemmatimonadota; Gemmatimonadia; Gemmatimonadales; Gemmatimonadaceae. The record is from RNAcentral.
UACAGAGGGUGCGAGCGUUGUCCGGAAUCACUGGGCGUAAAGGGCGCGUAGGCGGUUCGAUAAGUAGGGGGUGAAAUCUUGCGGCUCAACCGCAAGGCUGCCUUCUAGACUGUCGGACUUGAGCACAGUAGAGGCAGGUGGAAUUCCCGGUGUAGCGGUGGAAUGCGUAGAGAUCGGGAAGAACAUCGGUGGCGAAGGCGGCCUGCUGGGCUGUUGCUGACGCUGAGGCGCGACAGCGUGGGGAGCAAACAGG